GAUGAAGAACGUAGCGAAAUGCGAUAAGUAAUGUGAAUUGCAGAAUUCAGUGAAUCAUCGAAUCUUUGAACGCACAUUGCGCCCCCUGGUAUUCCGGGGGGCAUGCCUGUCCGAGCGUCAUUACAACCCUCAAGCUCAGCUUGGUAUUGGGCCCCGCCGCUCCGGCGGGCCCUAAAGUCAGUGGCGGUGCCGUCCGGCUCCGAGCGUAGUAAUUCUUCUCGCUCUGGAGGUCCGGUCGUGUGCUCGCCAGCAACCCCCAAUUUUUUUCAGGUUGACCUCGGAUCAGGUAGGGAUACCCGCUGAACUUAAGCAUAUCAAUAAGCGGAGGAA
Molecule: unclassified non-coding RNA, 330 nt
Filed under: soil metagenome
Description: partial contains 5.8S ribosomal RNA, internal transcribed spacer 2, and large subunit ribosomal RNA
Rfam family: 5.8S ribosomal RNA (bases 1-120)
Source: RNAcentral